UCAUUAAAGAGUAAGGGUGCUCAGCGCCCGACCUCCAACCCUUUGUUGUUAAAACUACCUUGUUGCUUUGGCGGGACCGCUCGGUCUCGAGCCGCUGGGGAUUCGUCCCAGGCGAGCGCCCGCCAGAGUUAAACCAAACUCUUGUUAUUAAACCGGUCGUCUGAGUUAAAAUUUUGAAUAAAUCAAAACUUUCAACAACGGAUCUCUUGGUUCUCGCAUCGAUGAAGAACGCAGCGAAAUGCGAUAAGUAAUGUGAAUUGCAGAAUUCAGUGAAUCAUCGAAUCUUUGAACGCACAUUGCGCCCCUUGGUAUUCCGAGGGGCAUGCCUGUUCGAGCGUCAUUACACCACUCAAGCUAUGCUUGGUAUUGGGUGCCGUCCUUAGUUGGGCGCGCCUUAAAGACCUCGGCGAGGCCACUCCGGCUUUAGGCGUAGUAGAAUUUAUUCGAACGUCUGUCAAAGGAGAGGAACUCUGCCGAUUGAAACCUUUUAUUUU
This 494-nucleotide ribosomal RNA is filed under the name fungal sp. 2 EO-2010. RNAcentral's name for it is "eukaryotic LSU rRNA". The stretch from base 187 to 340 matches the Rfam family "5.8S ribosomal RNA". The record is from RNAcentral. Lineage: Eukaryota; Fungi.